UACGGAGGGUGCGAGCGUUGUCCGGAAUCACUGGGCGUAAAGGGCGCGUAGGCGGCCCGUUAAGCGUGUGGUGAAAGCCCGGGGCUCAACUCCGGGUCGGCCAUGCGAACUGGCGGGCUCGAGCACUGUAGAGGCAGGUGGAAUUCCGGGUGUAGCGGUGGAAUGCGUAGAGAUCCGGAAGAACACCGGUGGCGAAGGCGGCCUGCUGGGCAGUAGCUGACGCUGAAGCGCGACAGCGUGGGGAGCAAACAGG
RNAcentral lists this ribosomal RNA (253 nucleotides) under uncultured prokaryote. RNAcentral's name for it is "partial 16S ribosomal RNA". It matches the Rfam family "Bacterial small subunit ribosomal RNA", at positions 524 to 776 of the family's 1533-position model. The record is from RNAcentral.